AAACAAUUAUUAAAUGCCAGUGG
RNAcentral lists this non-coding RNA (23 nucleotides) under Arabidopsis thaliana (thale cress). Lineage: Eukaryota; Viridiplantae; Streptophyta; Magnoliopsida; Brassicales; Brassicaceae. The record is from RNAcentral.